This 406-nucleotide ribosomal RNA is filed under the name uncultured bacterium. Its description in RNAcentral is "partial 16S ribosomal RNA". It matches the Rfam family "Bacterial small subunit ribosomal RNA", at positions 30 to 526 of the family's 1533-position model. The record is from RNAcentral.
AUUGAACGCUGGCGGCAGGCCUAACACAUGCAAGUCGAACGAGUGGCGGACGGGUGAGUAAUGUCUGGGAAACUGCCCGAUGGAGGGGGAUAACUCCUGGAAACGGUAGCUAAUACCGCAUACCAUCGGAUGUGCCCAGAUGGGAUUAGCUAGUAGGUGGGGUAACGGCUCACCUAGGCGACGAUCCCUAGCUGGUCUGCGAGGAUGACCCGCCACACUGGAACUGCGACACGGUCCAAACUCCUACGGGAGGCACUAGGGGGGAAUAUUGCACAAAGGGCGCAAACCUGAUGCAACCAUGCCGCGUGUAUGAAGGAGGCCUUCGGGUUGUAAAGUACUUUCAGCGAGGAGGCGUUACUCGCAGAAGAAGCACCGGCUAACUCCGUGCCAGCAGCCGCGGUAAUAC